Molecule: non-coding RNA, 45 nt
Filed under: Trichobilharzia regenti
Lineage: Eukaryota; Metazoa; Platyhelminthes; Trematoda; Strigeidida; Schistosomatidae
Source: RNAcentral
AUCCGAAUGACGAGUCCCAAAUAAGACGAAAUGCACAUCCUGGCU